Molecule: ribosomal RNA, 464 nt
Filed under: uncultured bacterium
Lineage: Bacteria
Description: partial 16S ribosomal RNA
Rfam family: Bacterial small subunit ribosomal RNA
Source: RNAcentral
CUACGGGGGGCAGCAGUGAGGAGUUUUGCGCAAUGGGGGAAACCCUGACGCAGCAACGCCGCGUGAGCGAAGAAGGCCUUCGGGUCGUAAAGCUCUGUCAAGUGGGAAAAACGUUUUCCGGUCAAUAGCCGGGAGAUCUGAUGGUACCGCUGAAGGAAGCACCGGCUAACUCCGUGCCAGCAGCCGCGGUAAUACGGAGGGUGCAAGCGUUGUUCGGAAUUAUUGGGCGUAAAGAGCGUGUAGGCGGUUUGGUAAGUCAGAUGUGAAAGCCCUGGGCUCAACCUGGGAAGUGCAUUUGAAACUGCUUUACUUGAGUAUGGGAGAGGAGAGUGGAAUUCCUGGUGUAGAGGUGAAAUUCGUAGAUAUCAGGAGGAACAUCUGUGGCGAAGGCGACUCUCUGGACCAAUACUGACGCUGAGACGCGAAAGCGUGGGUAGCAAACAGGAUUAGAUACCCGUGUAGUC